Molecule: ribosomal RNA, 116 nt
Filed under: Pteropus alecto (black flying fox)
Lineage: Eukaryota; Metazoa; Chordata; Mammalia; Chiroptera; Pteropodidae
Source: RNAcentral
AUCUACCGCCAUGCCACCCUGAACAAGCCUGAUGUCUGAUCUCAGAAGCUAAGCAGGGUUGAGCCUGAUUAGUACUUGGAUGAGAGACCACCUAGGAAGACCAGGUGCUGUAGGUA